Jaculus jaculus (lesser Egyptian jerboa) is the source of this 662-nucleotide long non-coding RNA. RefSeq lists it as uncharacterized. NCBI's taxonomy places the organism in Eukaryota, Metazoa, Chordata, Mammalia, Rodentia, Dipodidae. The transcript has 3 exons. The record is from RefSeq and is a predicted model, not a curated record.
GCCGCGCCCCUCUCGGUGGCGAGAGCCCUGCGUGUGCUCCGCGCCCGGGGAACCUCUCCGUCCCGGGUCCUCUGGUCACCGCGGGCGGGAUGGAUGGGCACCCGGGGGGUCCCCCCCCCGAUGCUGGAGGAAGAGAUUAAGGAAAACGUGGCAAUCACCUCAAUUUCCCGGGUCGGUGCAGGGGUUUCGCAGCCGUCUCCCCCCCACACCCGAAUGCAGCAAGCGUCCAGAGGAGUCCCUUUCCGGCCUGGCCCGGGCCCGCCGCUCCGCAGGCGACAGGAGUCUUCGGCACCUCUCAGGUCUUCUGUUCUACACCUAUUAGCUUCACAAAGAGUGACCUUCCAAUGCAAGGCCCAAGGGAAUCCCAAGAGACAACAAGAGCUGACUGAGCUCAAUCAUCAUGGAAGGAGCCAAUAGCUGCAAAAGUGGCCUUUUACCAAUCGAGCCAAAGUUUCAUCUUUUUUGAGAUUUUAAUCUCUGUACUUUCAUUGGUCCUGUUGCACUUGGACACCAGGAUUCUACAGUAGACAUCUCCACAACACUGGGCAUCCAAACCAGGCAUAGAUUAUGGGAGGAAGGGAUCUGUUUCAGGCGUUACAGAUUCAAGGGAAGUUCCAUUGAUGGUGGAAGAAGCUGUCUCCCUGUCACAGAUCCAAGCAGAG